Molecule: ribosomal RNA, 121 nt
Filed under: Pteropus alecto (black flying fox)
Lineage: Eukaryota; Metazoa; Chordata; Mammalia; Chiroptera; Pteropodidae
Source: RNAcentral
GUCUACUGCCAUGCUAACCCUGAGCAAGCCUGAUCCCGUCUGAUCUUGUGAAGCUAAGCAGGGUCGGGCCUGGUUAGUAUUGGGAUGGGAGACCACCUAGGAAGACGAGGUGCUGUAGGCG